RNAcentral lists this ribosomal RNA (386 nucleotides) under uncultured bacterium. RNAcentral's name for it is "bacterial SSU rRNA". It matches the Rfam family "Bacterial small subunit ribosomal RNA", at positions 30 to 414 of the family's 1533-position model. The record is from RNAcentral.
AUUGAACGCUGGCGGCAUGCUUUACACAUGCAAGUCUAACGGCAGCACGGGCUUCGGCCUGGUGGCGAGUGGCGAACGGGUGAGUAAUGCAUCGGAACGUGCCCAUUUGUGGGGGAUAACUACGCGAAAGCGUGGCUAAUACCGCAUACGCCCUGAGGGGGAAAGCGGGGGAUUCUUCGGAACCUCGCGCAAUUGGAGCGGCCGAUGUCAGAUUAGCUUGUUGGUGAGGUAAAGGCUCACCAAGGCGACGAUCUGUAGCGGGUCUGAGAGGAUGAUCCGCCACACUGGGACUGAGACACGGCCCAGACUCCUACGGGAGGCAGCAGUGGGGAAUUUUGGACAAUGGGGGCAACCCUGAUCCAGCCAUGCCGCGUGAGUGAAGAAGG